Molecule: transfer RNA, 63 nt
Filed under: Ictidomys tridecemlineatus (thirteen-lined ground squirrel)
Lineage: Eukaryota; Metazoa; Chordata; Mammalia; Rodentia; Sciuridae
Description: Spermophilus tridecemlineatus (thirteen-lined ground squirrel) tRNA
Rfam family: tRNA
About the family: Transfer RNA (tRNA) molecules are approximately 80 nucleotides in length. Their secondary structure includes four short double-helical elements and three loops (D, anti-codon, and T loops). Further hydrogen bonds mediate the characteristic L-shaped molecular structure. tRNAs have two regions of fundamental functional importance: the anti-codon, which is responsible for specific mRNA codon recognition, and the 3' end, to which the tRNAs corresponding amino acid is attached (by aminoacyl-tRNA synthetases). tRNAs cope with the degeneracy of the genetic code in two manners: having more than one tRNA (with a specific anti-codon) for a particular amino acid; and 'wobble' base-pairing, i.e. permitting non-standard base-pairing at the 3rd anti-codon position.
Source: Rfam by way of RNAcentral
GGGGAUGUAGCUCAGUGGUAGAGUACUUAUCUAGUAUGCAAGAGGCCCUAGGUUCUAUCCCCA